GGGGGGGGAGCCUACACAUGCAAGUCGAGCGGUAACAGAUCCAGCUUGCUGGAUGCUGACGAGCGGCGGACGGGUGAGUAAUGCAUAGGAAUCUGCCCGGUAGUGGGGGAUAACCUGGGGAAACCCAGGCUAAUACCGCAUACGUCCUACGGGAGAAAGGGGGCUUUGGCUCCCGCUAUCGGAUGAGCCUAUGUCGGAUUAGCUAGUUGGUGAGGUAACGGCUCACCAAGGCCACGAUCCGUAGCUGGUCUGAGAGGAUGAUCAGCCACAUCGGGACUGAGACACGGCCCGAACUCCUACGGGAGGCAGCAGUGGGGAAUAUUGGACAAUGGGGGGAACCCUGAUCCAGCCAUGCCGCGUGUGUGAAGAAGGCCCUCGGGUUGUAAAGCACUUUCAGCGAGGAAGAACGCCUAGCGGUUAAUACCCGCUAGGAAAGACAUCACUCGCAGAAGAAGCACCGGCUAACUCCGUGCCAGCAGCCGCGGUAAUACGGAGGGUGCAAGCGUUAAUCGGAAUUACUGGGCGUAAAGCGCGCGUAGGUGGCUUGAUAAGCCGGUUGUGAAAGCCCCGGGCUCAACCUGGGAACGGCAUCCGGAACUGUCAAGCUAGAGUGCAGGAGAGGAAGGUAGAAUUCCCGGUGUAGCGGUGAAAUGCGUAGAGAUCGGGAGGAAUACCAGUGGCGAAGGCGGCCUUCUGGACUGACACUGACACUGAGGUGCGAAAGCGUGGGUAGCAAACAGGAUUAGAUACCCUGGUAGUCCACGCCGUAAACGAUGUCGACCAGCCGUUGGGUGCCUAGCGCACUUUGUGGCGAAGUUAACGCGAUAAGUCGACCGCCUGGGGAGUACGGCCGCAAGGUUAAAACUCAAAUGAAUUGACGGGGGCCCGCACAAGCGGUGGAGCAUGUGGUUUAAUUCGAUGCAACGCGAAGAACCUUACCUACUCUUGACAUCCUGCGAAUUCGGUAGAGAUACCUUAGUGCCUUCGGGAACGCAGAGACAGGUGCUGCAUGGCUGUCGUCAGCUCGUGUUGUGAAAUGUUGGGUUAAGUCCCGUAACGAGCGCAACCCUUGUCCUUAUUUGCCAGCGCGUAAUGGCGGGAACUCUAAAGAGAACUGCCGGUGACAAACCCGG
This 1133-nucleotide ribosomal RNA is filed under the name Vreelandella aquamarina. RNAcentral's name for it is "bacterial SSU rRNA". It matches the Rfam family "Bacterial small subunit ribosomal RNA", at positions 38 to 1166 of the family's 1533-position model. Lineage: Bacteria; Pseudomonadati; Pseudomonadota; Gammaproteobacteria; Oceanospirillales; Halomonadaceae. The record is from RNAcentral.